RNAcentral lists this ribosomal RNA (301 nucleotides) under uncultured bacterium. RNAcentral describes it as "partial 16S ribosomal RNA". It matches the Rfam family "Bacterial small subunit ribosomal RNA", at positions 509 to 807 of the family's 1533-position model. The record is from RNAcentral.
CAGUCGCCACGGUAAUACGAAGGGUGCAAGCGUUACUCGGAAUUACUGGGCGUAAAGCGUGCGUAGGUGGUGGUUUAAGUCCGUUGUGAAAGCCCUGGGCUCAACCUGGGAAUUGCAGUGGAUACUGGGUCACUAGAGUGUGGUAGAGGAUAGUGGAAUUUCCGGUGUAGCAGUGAAAUGCGUAGAGAUCGGAAGGAACAUCUGUGGCGAAGGCGACUAUCUGGGCCAACACUGACACUGAGGCACGAAAGCGUGGGGAGCAAACAGGAUUAGAUACCCGGGUAGUCCCUGUCUCUUAUAC